This 828-nucleotide long non-coding RNA is filed under the name Heterocephalus glaber (naked mole-rat). RNAcentral describes it as "lncRNA (ENSHGLG00000028979.2)". Lineage: Eukaryota; Metazoa; Chordata; Mammalia; Rodentia; Bathyergidae. The record is from RNAcentral.
GAAGAGACAAAGGUAUGGGGAAUCCAAUUAUAACCUAGCUCUCAGAGCAAAGCAAAGCGAAAGUGCCUUAAACUCGCUAACAAAACAAAGGUCAGAGACCUAGAGUUGUUUCAGUUCUGCUCUGCAGGCCCAGGAGAUUCAGAACUGAGAAGAUAGCUAGGCUUAACUUCUUGAUGGUUUGAGAAUGAGGGAGGAGAGUGGAGGCAAAGCUGGGUGACGAAAGAGAGGCAUGGGGGAGGAAUUAUUACCCUAGAAACUAACAACAUAAAACUGUCAGGGUCCCAGCAGCUGCAACUCUAGGCCUAAAUGAGGUGAGCUGUCUUGGAGAACUGAAGUUCUGCCCCUUCCCUUCCUGACUUCAACACCACCUACCUCUUCUCUCUGGAGACUAGGCCUGGGGAUUACAUCUUAGACCGGGGACUGUGGAAGUUCAGCUAUGAAGAACUCUUUGGGGAAUCAUUCCCCCACCCCAAGAUUCCCAACUGGAAAUUAACUACUUGCUUGGGAAGAAAUGCAACCGGGGCAAGCUUCAACACCUGGAAGGCUGAGUUCAAGGAAGCCAACUACCCGGGUCGAAGUGAAGAAACCCCAGCAGACAGAGGCCCGCCGCCCACCUGUCAGCGGAGUAAUGAAUGCUUGCUCGGGGCCCUGGGCCCCCCUGGAGUCGUUCAUCACUGCCAGAACCGCCUACCUCUGCCUUCCGCCCGGAGGGCUUUGCGGCCGGGGCUGCAAGACCCUCUCUCCCCCCACCUCGAUCACUAAUUGUCAGAUUGAGAUGUUGAUUUGUCAGCUGGGAGCUAGCGCCAAAGAAUCUGCAGUAAAACCUGG